Long non-coding RNA from Alosa sapidissima (American shad), 214 nucleotides. RefSeq lists it as uncharacterized. Lineage: Eukaryota; Metazoa; Chordata; Actinopteri; Clupeiformes; Clupeidae. The record is from RefSeq and is a predicted model, not a curated record. The transcript is spliced from 4 exons.
AAGCUGCUCCCCUAUAGCACAUUGGUAAUGUAAGGAUCCUAAUUACCAGGCUGAUGAUAAUCUUUUCAGUCAUAUAUUGACUCUUGAUCAACUACUAAGUGUGGGCCUAUUGUGGGCCUACUGUCACAUGUCCACAGGAGCAGUUAACUAUAGGGACAGGAAAUGUAAUCAAAUGUAUACCUUGUCAUGUCUUGAUUGAUUCACUCUCACUACA